GAUGAAGAACGCAGCGAAAUGCGAUAAGUAGUGUGAAUUGCAGAAUUCAGUGAAUCAUCGAAUCUUUGAACGCACAUUGCACCCCUUGGUAUUCCAUGGGGCAUGCCUGUUCGAGCGUCAUUUGUAACCUCAAGCUAUGCUUGGUAUUGGGCGAUUCUUGUCCGGCUCCCAUGCCUGGACUCGCCUCAAAGCGAUUGGCAGCCGGCGUAUUGAUUUCGGAGCGCAGUACAUCUCGCGCUUUGCACUCAUAACGACGACGUCCAAAAGUACAUUUUUACACUCUUGACCUCGGAUCAGGUAGGGAUACCCGCUGAACUUAAGCAUAUCAAUAAGCGGAGGA
This 340-nucleotide unclassified non-coding RNA is filed under the name soil metagenome. Its description in RNAcentral is "partial contains 5.8S ribosomal RNA, internal transcribed spacer 2, and large subunit ribosomal RNA". The stretch from base 1 to 120 matches the Rfam family "5.8S ribosomal RNA", at positions 35 to 154 of the family's 154-position model. The record is from RNAcentral.